Non-coding RNA from Dermacentor albipictus, 6282 nucleotides. The record is from RefSeq and is a predicted model, not a curated record. NCBI's taxonomy places the organism in Eukaryota, Metazoa, Arthropoda, Arachnida, Ixodida, Ixodidae.
GUGUGUGUGUGUGUGUGUGUGUGUGUGUGUGCGCGCGCGCGCGCGCGUGCGUUCAGUACAUGCCGGUUUGUAUGGGCCGGCGUGUUUGCGCGUGUCUAGUGCGUACGUGUUUUGUGAGUGUGUUGUCUGUGGGUCGAUGUGUGUGCGUGCACGUGUUAGCGUGUCUGCCUGCAUGCAUGUAUGUGUGCUUGUUUGUGUUCAUCAAUGUGCGCGUGCGCGCUUUUGUGUCUGCGCUUUGAGAGUGCGUAUACUUGUGUGUGCGUGUGGAUGCGUUUUGUGUGCGUGCGUAUGUAUUGCAUGAGGCCGGUAGAGUUUUACUCGCAAUAAAACUCUUCCGAUUUGGUGCAGCGAGUGUUCCCGCCUGAAAGCCGAGUUUGGUUUCAAGCCACCCUGGACAACUGCUGUAUGAGGCGCCGUUUCUCGGGAGGACCAGUGGGAAGGCGCCAAGUAUACGCUUCGUCCUUUUUCCUCCCAUGCCCUAAUGAAUCGAUAUCCUUGUUUUUUAUUGUGAAAGGAACGUUACAUCCAGAGCAUAAAUAAAUGAUUAGGAAAUCUGGUAGUGUGUUUCGCCAUUACAAUAAUUCCGAUCUUAAAGACGUGGAUUUCCCAUUAGCCCACAUUUCUUUUGAUGCAGACAACCGCUGAAAUUGUUAGCGGCAGGUUAUUCGAGACGUUCUACGUAUAUAGCAAUUGUCUUCAGGAGCUUUAAUGAAUAUUGAAAAUUUGAAGUGUUGUGCUUUAGAGGUAUCAUAUAUAAGCUUUAGGUAUCCGGGUAAUUUGCAUGCCCUUCAAGAGCUGUCGCCUAUAGCCCUAUUGAAAUUCGUAACUACAGUUUGGAGCACUGGGGAAGCUAGAAGGCUUGCCCUGGCUCUCGAGAAAGUGUUUAAGCUGGAGGUGUAGGUUGAGGAGUUUGGGGUUGGUAACACAAAGGAUUUUUUAUGCCUUAGCAGUAGGAGUGACACAGGAUAAAAAAAAUGUAUGUGUGUCAAGCACAGGAAGCUGCUCAUGUGGUAGAAGCAUGUGUGCGUGUGUGUGUGUGUGUGCGCGUGUGUGUGUGCGCCCAUGCAUGCGUGCGUGUGUGUGAAUUCUCUCCUCAAAAGGGAGUAUGUGUGUGAGCUAUUUCAUUGCUGGUCUGUUUGCCAAGAAUUGGAAGAAAACACAAUAAUCAAUUUAACUUGAAAUAAUAAACUUCAAAGCAUACUGGCGUACUGGCGACAGCAGCAUACAAGCAUGCAGCUGUGUGACAAUCUUAAUGCAUGACUGCAACAUCUGGAAGGAGGCUUGCUUCUUCAGUAAGCAGCACAAAGUCCAUAUUCUUGGCUUUUCUCGUGCAAACCAAAACGAGGCUCAUUGCCAAUGAUCUUGUCUUUUGCUCUAAUAGCAUUUGUUUAUCUUGUACUUAGAGCGUUGUUUCUCGCAGGUCAUGCAGAUGGUAGCAGCGAUUUCACAAUGCCCAGCCUUGGCGCCCCCCAUCAAGAGCAAGCCACUUGCUUUCGCCUUCAGACAGAUGGUUAACGUCUUCUUGAAAGCGGUUGAGAAGACAACAUUGCUGCAAGAUUCCAGCAAUGCCAUGCGCUGCAUUUAUUGGUCAAGAUGCUCAGAGAAUGGAGUCCCUGCACCUCGUGGUUAACCGUGAACAUUUCUUUUUCUUUUGGAAAGCUAAAGGCCAUUUGCUGCAUCACUUGCAUUUUUGCAGCUCAGAUGUGUACUAUAUUUUUCUAAUUUUGAAUCAAUAUUGGCUAUUCAGUAUAAAAAAUGACGUACAGCGUGAAGGACAAGGACUGCGAGAGACACACUCCACUGACUUUCAACAAUAUUUUAUUGCGUUGCCACAUCGUAUGUGUAUACACAGAGGGGUCAUGCGCAGAAAAUGAAAGCCAGACACAAGGGGUGUUCUAACAGCAAGUCAUUGUAAAAAGAACAUGGUCACUUGAAAAAAAAAAAACAUCACAAUUUCUAUCUGUUUAGAUACAAAAUUUCACUAGGGGUCAGCGUGAUAGAGGGGGCACUAACGCACACACUACCCAGUUUUCUGGUGAAAUCAGCUUCAAUAAUUUACCGGGUGAGCUGUGUCUCGCUAAAACUUCGGUAUCUUAAAGAGGGGCAUGCAGCCGCAGUCCCGGCAAUGAAUGCCCAAGUGGCCUUGAACAGUGUUAUGGACGUUGUUAUAGUGCUCUCUUAAACGAUCAUUUAGGCGCAUGCCUAUCUGUCCAAUAUAUUUACUGCCUCAAAAUGGGAAUUUGGGAAACCACAUUCAUUGCACACAUCGCAAAACGUUUUCUGUGCUCGGCAGAGCAACAACUCUGACGUGAUUUAGGCGCGUUUACACACUUACAGAGCCUUGCCAGCUUUUCCGGGGCUGAGAAAAGGACUGUGAUUUCUGCAGGUCCCCUAAUCUUUUUUAGCCUAUGGGAGACAUCAUGAACAUACGGUAGCACUGCAAACCUGUGUCUUUCAACCGGCUGGUUCCUUGACCGAGCGUGCUCAUCAUGUUUUGUGCACUUCAGAAGCUGUUCCGCUAUGGCUGAAAUUAAGGCCAAAGGGUAGCCAACCCAAGAAAGGCAAUCAGCCUGUGCAGCAACGCUAUGUUGCAUCUCUUGUGAGCAAGAUUUAUUGAGGCUGUUAAGGAGGCAAAGCUUCACAAUAUCUCAUUUGACUUUGUUGGACAGACAGGCAGGCGCCUAAACAAUCAUUUAGGAGAGCACGAUAACAACGUCCAUAACACUGUUCAAGGCCACUUCGGCAUCCAUUGCUGGGACUGCGGCUGCAUGCCCCUCUUUGAAGGUACGGAAGCUUUAGUGAGACAGGUCAUCCAGGAAACUAUAGAAGCAGAUUUCACUAGAAAACUGGUUAGUGUGUGCGUUAGUGACCCCUCUAUCGUGCUGACCCCUAGUGAAGUCUUGUAUCUCAACAGAUAGAAAUUCUAAUGUUUAUUUUUUUCAAAGGACGAUGUUCUUAGUACAGUCACUUGCUGUUAGACACCCCUUGUGACUCAUAUUCUGCGCAUGCCCGCUUUUGUGCAAAUAUACUCGAUGUGGCAACGUAAUUAAAUAUUGUUUGAAGUCAGCGCAGUCUGUCAUCUCUCGCAGUUCUUGUCAUUCAAGCUGUACGUAAUUUUAUCUCAUUAAUUGCAAACUAUCCCAAGGAACUACCCUUGUUCAGUAUAAUUAUAAUGUUUGAUAUGACCAUUUGCUGGCAAAUGUUAACAGUGUGAUAUUUAACUUGAACUUUUGCAUGACUGCCUAUGCCUGUGUUCUUUUAGUAACCAGAGUAUGGCUAAUUUAUUAAACCAUAUUUGCUAAUUUGCAUGCUCACAUGCUAUAGCAUGCCUUAAUCUUGAAUUACUGCAUCUAAGUGCAAAUAAUUUAGAAAUUUACUAUGUAUUUUAAAACACUGUCCACAUUUUGUGCUCAGCAAAAUCGUUUAAUCAACAGUGGUUUGUUUUUAUCAGGCCUCCUGCUGCACUUUGCACCCAGGCACUAGUAGAUGUGGAAUAUGCACUCUUUUGAUUUAUAGUAAGCAAAGAACCUAUUUUCAAACUACAUAUUGUAUAUGUACCAGUGCCUUAGAGUUACAAAACAAAAAUUUAUAGAAACUGGUAUUGUAGUUAGAAAAACCGCUACACAGCACCUUUAGCCCAGAGAACUCUCAUUUCACAAAAGAGGACAAACUAUGUAGGCGCUAAAAAAUUCUACGUAUUUUUUGUGCUCAAGUAAUCUUGUUGGAAAUAGAAAAUUAGCAAUAAGGCUCCUGGCAUAAACCUCACUUAAAGCAUGUCUAUGCUUGGAAAGUAUUCUUUCAGUCUGAAAAAUGUUGGCCAGUUAUGCUUUACAUCGACUUUCCAAACUUUUCAUAAUGCUUUGCGAUUACAUUAGUGUACAAAAUAACAGGUGUCUUUCUUGUGCGUUUGCUCUGCAUUUCAAUUGCUUCCCUAAUUCACCUUUGCAAUAUGCCUUUUUUUAAGGCAUCAAAACUUGAAUUUUCGUUCACUGGAGCCUAAUACUAAAAAUUUAUUCCUUUAUGUGGCCCAAAACACUGCGAAUCAACCCAGGCUCUUUCAGUGCCGCUAUACAUAGUUUCUUCUCUAAUAACAGAUUUGAUCAAUACAUAUAUUUUAGGUACCUUUGUGGGGAAUGUACAUGUUCUUGUACUUACCGAUGUGUUUGGUGAUUGUGCAUGAUUAUAUUUCAUGUGAUUUAUGUAUAUGUUGUACUCUGUAUUGCAGCAUGCAAUAAAUAUAUUUGCAUUUUCUUGAAAAUGCAGCAUAUAUCUUACCAGUCUGUGUUGCAUGUUAUUUGGAUAUGGAAAUCGUGAUAACCUUGGUGUUGAUAUACAUGCUCAAAAGUGUCCAAGUUUGCUAGGUUGUAUUUGUGCAGCGAAGACAGGUUUUCCAAUAUACACCAUGAAUUACUAAUAUGUAAUGUGAUCCACACGUAUAGGUGUUGUGUAUGCCCAUCGAAGCUUCAAGGCCGGCUGUUCGACAGUGCGUUUUGUAGCCGAACUUGAACCUUCUGGCACACGCAGUAGUUGCGCGUGGAUCGCUGUACAUAGUAGUAAUUGAAGGUGUGUACUGCCGAAUCUGCCUUCCAUACACGCUAGAAAUAAAAGGGUCUACACCCUUCCAACACCCACACAGAUGGGUGUUAAUUUGGAUGAGCAGCCUUACACCCUAAAUUUAUUUUGCUGGACACCCUUCCUUUAGGGUGCUAUAGUGGCACCCCAACUGUAGGGUGUAGACAACAGCACCCUUAGGGUGUUCGUCUGGCGACAAACUGAUUUACACCCUUAAGGGUGUUAAAAUGUUUAGUGUGUGUGGCUGGCUGAGUGCAUCUGCACCGACUACUGCAGCGAAAGACACACAGCCUACUUUCGGGACCACGUGUGGCUGACGUCACCUGCUGGACCCGAUAAAACAACGCUCCGAUCGGCUUCUCGGUACUGCAGCGAAAGACGCACAGCCUACUUUCGGGAUCACGUGUGGCUGACGUCACUUGCUGGACCCGAUAAAGCAACGCUCCGAUCGGCUUCUCGGACACUUGGCAGCAGAGGCGGCGGGCAGAGCAGUGGCUAAGAAUCUACUUACAUUCACAGGGAACUCCAAAGCGACCGCCGUGUUGUUCCCUCGGUGAUGGCCACUGAAGCACCCACCGCGCAGUAAGUUACCGCGCCGCAUCCGUCCCCACCGUCUGUCAUCUUAUCACUUCCGAAAGAUCCAGGCACCUUCUGUGGCACAGAUGACGUGGACGUUGAUGAUUGGAUUUCGUGGUAUGAGCGUGUCAGCAAACAGAACAGGUAGGACGAUACCCUUAUGCUGGCAAAUGUGGUAUUUUAUCUUAAGGGAAGUGCACCCGUCUGGUUCAAGGCACACGAGCACGAUGUCACCACCUGGAACCUAUGCAAAGAAAACCUGAACGACUUGUUCGGCAAGCCCUUGGGUCAUCAGCUAGCCGCUAAAAAAAGAACUUGCUUUCGCGAGCUCUACUGAAUCGUAGAUUUCAUAUAUUCAGGAUAUUCUAGCGCUUUACCGCAAAGGUGGCGGUAACAUGUUGUCACAGAGUUGCAUCCCCGCGCCCCUCUCGAGUGGGCCGACAUUGCCACCGCAGCCGCAACGCUGCUUGCACGGCGAUGAGGGAGAGCGCUCCCCAUUGUCCCCGAACCCGCCCGACGGGUUGAUCACGUGUGUCGGCCGAGCGCGGCAGAGGUACGAGGCGGCUCGGCGAGCGGCAGAGCAGCUUGGAGGAGGACGAAGGAGUGGGGUCGUGCACCGGGGGACAGCUGAAGAUGUGGUCGGCAGGCUGAGAUCUCCAGGCCGAAGUCUUCGCCGGUCGAGCGACAGACGGUGCAAGUCCGUCCGGAUCUUCGGCAGCGAGGUUGCAGCAGCCCGACGCUCUUCAGAUCGGGACCUCGGCAAGCACGCCCCAGAUAUGCCUCGUGUUCCAGGCCGCUCUCAAACUUUCCGCCGGACUCUCUUUUCUAAUCGCGUUCAAUCUUUCAUUUGUUUAGCCAUCGAGUGUUAAUUAUUGUGUGUCCUGUUAGUUUAAUGUUUGCCCUAUUUAUUGUCGCUUGUAUUUUUCAUUUGUGUUGCGUAUUUUAUUUGUAUUUCGCGAGUGUUAAUGGUUCCCACGUGGUGGGCUUAGUGUCGCGCGAGUGGCGUCAGGGCGUGUGUUGUGUGACCCGCACGCCUUCCGCGAGCUAGGACCCACUACUGGAAGUUGCAUGUCUUUUUCUUCCAUUAUGUCUCGGGCAUAAUUUUAUUGUAUUAAAUUGAAAGUGUGUGUUGUA